AAGAUAACCCACAGUACACAUAUCAACAACUUCAACAAACAUUAUCUCAUCGUGCAUUACAAAGCAUAUUUUUUAUAAGAAAACACAGAGCAGAGAGAACAAUACAAGUAAUAAACCAAAGAACAAGUACAUAGAAGUACACAGGGACCAGAGACCAUCUCAUUCUUCAGCGGCACUCGCAGCACUUAGAUCCACAUUGAGGUCCAGAACCUUUCCAGUAAUCAAGGUAUACAUAUUGAGGACAUCAUCAACAGUCGACUCAAAGUGAGUUGUAGCAUCAUAGCUAGUAGAAAUAAAACAAUUAUCUAAAGAGGGCUCAUUGACAGGCUCAAAUCUGUCAUAUGCUUCAAAGAAGAUCUCAUCCACUUGUCCUAGAAGAUCAAUGCCAGGCUUCAGCUCACUCUCCGGAUUAUCAGUUUCUGCCUCUGUUGAGACAAAUGCAAUAAAUUUGCCCUUUGGAGCAACAUUAUGAGUGUAAGAACAGCAGAACAGGUACAUAUCUGAUUUGCGACCCAAC
RNAcentral lists this unclassified non-coding RNA (517 nucleotides) under Hevea brasiliensis (rubber tree). The record is from RNAcentral. Lineage: Eukaryota; Viridiplantae; Streptophyta; Magnoliopsida; Malpighiales; Euphorbiaceae.